GAUGAACGCUGGCGGCGUGCCUAAUACAUGCAAGUCGAGCGAACGGACGAGAAGCUUGCUUCUCUGAUGUUAGCGGCGGACAGGUGAGUAACACGUGGAUAACCUACCUAUAAGACUGGGAUAACUUCGGGAAACCGGAGCUAAUACCGGAUGAUAUUUUGAACCGCAUGGUUCAAAAGUGAAAGACGGUCUUGCUGUCACUUAUAGAUGGAUCCGCGCUGCAUUAGCUAGUUGGUAAGGUAACGGCUUACCAAGGCAACGAUGCAUAGCCGACCUGAGAGGGUGAUCGGCCACACUGGAACUGAGACACGGUCCAGACUCCUACGGGAGGCAGCAGUAGGGAAUCUUCCGCAAUGGGCGAAAGCCUGACGGAGCAACGCCGCGUGAGUGAUGAAGGUCUUCGGAUCGUAAAACUCUGUUAUUAGGGAAGAACAUAUGUGUGAGUAACUGUGCACAUCUUGACGGUACCUAAUCAGAAAGCCACGGCUAACUACGUG
This 497-nucleotide ribosomal RNA is filed under the name uncultured bacterium. RNAcentral's name for it is "partial 16S ribosomal RNA". It matches the Rfam family "Bacterial small subunit ribosomal RNA", at positions 28 to 507 of the family's 1533-position model. The record is from RNAcentral.